GGCUGUGAGCUUUAUGGAAUAAUUCCAUGAGUUGCUUUUUACUAGAUAAGGACAUUCCCUGGUGUCAUAGCUAUUUUGCAAGCCUACAGUUGCCUUCUAUGACCCUGAAAUUUCUCCGGCCAUUUCAACAGGAGAGGAUACUUUUAUUCUUUUUCCCAUGACUGCAGCGUGGUGCUGCUAGCACUAGUGCAGCUGCAUUUUGCCCUAGAGACAGCUAUGUUUCACUUGGGGAUGGCCAGGCCUUUGAAAGGGAAUGCAUUAAUUCUAACAAUAUGGUAAAUCACUGAAAUUUUUUCUGCAUUUCAUUUCUCUUGAAAGAACUGAGACAUGGACAAGCUUCUAGCAAGUACCAUCCUCAUCAAACAAGCAAAUCUGCUAAGUCCAAACAGAUUUGGGCAGAGAAAUGUUUAAUAAAGAACUCACUUCCAGUAAGGCUGGUGAAGAAACCAUGGUAAUUCAAGGAAAGGAAAGCAAUGGAUUAAAAAAAGAAUAAUCAGGCUAAUGAAUAUCUGAACUUUAAAGGUUUGAGAUUGAAGAAGAUGAUUGGCUGGACCAUUACUGAAGAUUAAGGCUCUAUUGUAGCCAAAUCAAGGAAAGAGCAUUUUAAAGCCAAUUACAAUUCCUGAGACCUUUAAAUAUUAUUCUGAGGUAAAAAAUCCUGAAUGAUGUUGUACUCAAUGCCCAUCCAAGUUCUGGGGUUUGAAAACUGCUUAUGAUCUCUUGUAGCCAAUACCCUGGCAAACAUGGAACACAAAUGGAGCAAGAUGAGGGUUUUUAUCUGUGGUUUACAUACAAACUCCACUGCGGAAGCAGCAGGCAAAGCCAAGAGUAGAAAACUGGCCAAAGGAAGAGCAUGUUCAGUUCUGCAGCAUGGCUGGUUUAAAAGGCAAGCUGAUACCAACUGAGAGGCUAAGCUAGAAAACCUGAGUUUUUCCAAACUGAUAAGGAAUGUGGAAAGACUGUUAAAUUUAUUCGUUUUUUGGGUAGAGGCUCUUCAAAGUUUGGGUUUUUUUUUUUAAUGAAGAAAUGUCUGAAAUACCAGUGCUGAAUUUCUCCCAAUAUGAAUUUAAAAAUGUUUUUCCUGUAAUAUGUCGUUUGUUGAUGUGACCAGUGAAAUCCACCGUGACCCAGAAAUUUAAAAUUUUCUAUCAGCUGCACUUUAAAUACAUUCUUCUUUCUGAAGCAUGCUAAUGAAAAUGUUGUCCUGAGUACAAAACAGAGCAGUGUACUCAAAAUCAUUAUUCACCCUACUUGACAACAGAAGCACUCAGCUUCUUUGGGCUGGAAUGCAUUAAAGGGGGAAAAAACAUUCAAUGAAUUAUGCUUUUUUCAGCUGUAACACUGAAAACUCUGCUGUCUUAUGUUUGGUUCAUAAAGCUGCUUUGCUUCAUGCCUUUUUCAGACUGA
This is a long non-coding RNA of Corvus hawaiiensis (hawaiian crow), 1407 nucleotides long. RefSeq lists it as uncharacterized. The record is from RefSeq and is a predicted model, not a curated record. The transcript has 2 exons. NCBI's taxonomy places the organism in Eukaryota, Metazoa, Chordata, Aves, Passeriformes, Corvidae.